Molecule: transfer RNA, 63 nt
Filed under: Meimuna opalifera
Lineage: Eukaryota; Metazoa; Arthropoda; Insecta; Hemiptera; Cicadidae
Description: tRNA-Asp
Source: RNAcentral
AAAGAAUUAGUUUAAUAAAAAAUUUUAAUUUGUCAAAUUAAUAAUACUAUUCAGUAUUCUUUU